RNAcentral lists this non-coding RNA (271 nucleotides) under Solanum tuberosum (potato). RNAcentral describes it as "rRNA SSU_rRNA_eukarya". It matches the Rfam family "Eukaryotic small subunit ribosomal RNA", at positions 1189 to 1439 of the family's 1831-position model. The record is from Rfam by way of RNAcentral. Lineage: Eukaryota; Viridiplantae; Streptophyta; Magnoliopsida; Solanales; Solanaceae.
CUUAAUUUGAUUCAACACAUGGAAACUUACUAGGUCAAUACAUCAUAAACAUUGACAGACUUAGAGCUCUUUCUUGUAUCUAUGGGUGGUGGUUCAUGGUCGUUCUUAGUUGGUGAAGCGAUUUGUCUGGUUAAUUCCGUUAACGAAUGAGACCCCAGCCUACUAACUAGCUAUGCAGAGGUAUCUAGACCAACUUCUUAGAGGGACUAGGACCUUUUAGGCCUUGGAUGAUUCUUUGUUAGUGUGAGUGUUGCAUCUUUGUCCUGUCUUG